This 127-nucleotide small RNA is filed under the name Marmota monax (woodchuck). Lineage: Eukaryota; Metazoa; Chordata; Mammalia; Rodentia; Sciuridae. The record is from RNAcentral.
GCUGGGUGUGGUGGUGCAUGCCUGUAAUCCCAGUGACUCUGGAGGCUGAGGCAGGAGGAUUACAAACUGGAGGCCAGCCUCAGCAAUUUAGCAAGGCCCUAAGCAAUUUAGUGAGACUCUGUCUCCA